RNAcentral lists this ribosomal RNA (379 nucleotides) under uncultured bacterium. RNAcentral describes it as "bacterial SSU rRNA". It matches the Rfam family "Bacterial small subunit ribosomal RNA", at positions 523 to 898 of the family's 1533-position model. The record is from RNAcentral.
ACACGUAGGGGGCAAGCGUUGUCCGGAUUUAUUGGGCGUAAAGAGCUCGUAGGUGGCUCAGUAAGUCGGGUGUGAAACCUCCAGGCUCAACCUGGAGACGCCACCCGAUACUGCUGUGGCUAGAGUCCAGUAGGGGAGCGUGGAAUUCCUGGUGUAGCGGUGAAAUGCGCAGAUAUCAGGAGGAACACCAGUGGCGAAGGCGGCGCUCUGGGCUGGAACUGACACUGAGGAGCGAAAGCGUGGGGAGCGAACAGGAUUAGAUACCCUGGUAGUCCACGCCGUAAACGUUGGGUACUAGGUGUGGGGUCUUAUCAACGGAUUCCGUGCCGAAGCUAACGCAUUAAGUACCCCGCCUGGGGAGUACGGCCGCAAGGCUAAA